UAAGGAACUUGCCUCUUGGUCUGGGACAACUGUUGGAAACGACAGCUAAUACCAGAUAUUAUGAGAUUCUCGCAUGAGAAACUUAUGAAAGCUAUAUGCGCCAAGAGAGAGCCUUGCGUUCCAUUAGCUAGUUGGUGGGGUAACGGCCCACCAAGGCGACGAUGGAUAGCCGGCCUGAGAGGGUGAACGGCCACAAGGGGACUGAGACACGGCCCUUACUCCUACGGGAGGCAGCAGUGGGGAAUAUUGGACAAUGGGCCACAAGCCUGAUCCAGCAAUUCUGUGUGCACGAUGAAGGUCUUCGGAUUGUAAAGUGCUUUCAGUUGGGAAGAAGAAAGUGACGGUACCAACAGAAGAAGCGACGGCUAAAUACGUGCCAGCAGCCGCGGUAAUACGUAUGUCGCAAGCGUUAUCCGGAUUUAUUGGGCGUAAAGCGCGUCUAGGCGGAAAAAUAAGUCUGAUGUUAAAAUGCGGGGCUCAACUCCGUAUUGCGCUGGAAACUGUUUUUCUAGAGUACUGGAGAGGUGGGCGGAACUACAAGUGUAGAGGUGAAUUCGUAGAUAUUUGUAGGAAUGCCGAUGGAGAAGUCAGCUCACUGGACAGAUACUGACGCUAAAGCGCGAAAGCGUGGGGA
Molecule: ribosomal RNA, 634 nt
Filed under: uncultured bacterium
Lineage: Bacteria
Description: bacterial SSU rRNA
Rfam family: Bacterial small subunit ribosomal RNA
Source: RNAcentral